This 388-nucleotide ribosomal RNA is filed under the name uncultured bacterium. RNAcentral describes it as "bacterial SSU rRNA". It matches the Rfam family "Bacterial small subunit ribosomal RNA", at positions 29 to 419 of the family's 1533-position model. The record is from RNAcentral.
AUUAAACGCUGGCGGCAUGCCUUACACAUGCAAGUCGAACGGCAGCACGGGGCAACCUGGUGGCGAGUGGCGAACGGGUGAGUAAAGCAUCGGAACGUGCCCUGGAGUGGGGGAUAACGUAGCGAAAGUUGCGCUAAUACCGCAUAUUCUGUGAGCAGGAAAGCAGGGGGAUCGCAAGACCUUGCGCUCUGGGAGCGGCCGAUGUCGGAUUAGCUAGUUGGUGGGGUAAAGGCCUACCAAGGCGACGAUCCGUAGCGGGUCUGAGAGGAUGAUCCGCCACACUGGGACUGAGACACGGCCCAGACUCCUACGGGAGGCAGCAGUGGGGAAUUUUGGACAAUGGGCGGAAGCCUGAUCCAGCCAUGCCGCGUGAGUGAAGAAGGCCUUC